This 1178-nucleotide ribosomal RNA is filed under the name uncultured Bifidobacterium sp. RNAcentral's name for it is "bacterial SSU rRNA". It matches the Rfam family "Bacterial small subunit ribosomal RNA", at positions 173 to 1357 of the family's 1533-position model. The record is from RNAcentral. Lineage: Bacteria; Bacillati; Actinomycetota; Actinomycetes; Bifidobacteriales; Bifidobacteriaceae.
UGCUCCAUCACACCGCAUGGUGUGUUGGGAAAGCCUUUGCGGCAUGGUAUGGGGUCGCGUCCUAUCACCUUGAUGGCGGGGUAACGGCCCACCAUGGCUGAAACGGGUAGCCGGCCUGAGAGGGCGACCGGCCACAUUGGGACUGAGAUACGGCCCAGACUCCUACGGGAGGCAGCAGUGGGGAAUAUUGCACAAUGGGCGCAAGCCUGAUGCAGCGACGCCGCGUGAGGGAUGGAGGCCUUCGGGUUGUAAGCCUCUUUUGUUAGGGAGCAAGGCAUUUUUGUGUUGAGUGUACCUUUCGAAUAAGCACCGGCUAACUACGUGCCAGCAGCCGCGGUAAUACGUAGGGUGCAAGCGUUAUCCGGAAUUAUUGGGCGUAAAGGGCUCGUAGGCGGUUCGUCGCGUCCGGUGUGAAAGUCCAUCGCUUAACGGUGGAUCCGCGCCGGGUACGGGCGGGCUGGAGUGCGGUAGGGGAGACUGGAAUUCCCGGUGUAACGGUGGAAUGUGUAGAUAUCGGGAAGAACACCAAUGGCGAAGGCAGGUCUCUGGGCCAUCACUGACGCUGAGGAGCGAAAGCGUGGGGAGCGAACAGGAUUAGAUACCCUGGUAGUCCACGCCGUAAACGGUGGAUGCUGGAUGUGGGGCCCUUUCCACGGGUCCCGUGUCGGAGCCAACGCGUUAAGUACCCCGCCUGGGGAGUACGGCCGCAAAGCUAAAACUCAAAGGAAUUGACGGGGCCCCGCACAAGCGGCGGAGCAUGCGGAUUAAUUCGAUGCAACGCGUAGAACCUUACCUGGGUUUGACAUGGAUCGGGAGCGCUCAGAGAUGGGUGUGCCUCUUUUGGGGUCGGUUCACAGGUGGUGCAUGGCUGUCGUCAGCUCGUGUCGUGAGAUGUUGGGUUAAGUCCCGCAACGAGCGCAACCCUUGUUCACUGUUGCCAGCACGUUAUGGUGGGGACUCAGUGGAGACCGCCGGGGUCAAUGAUUAGGAAUGUGGGGAAGAGGUCAAGUCAUCAUUCACACUUUCUCCUGGAACUCAAUCCUGGUACAAUGGUUCGUACAGAGAGUGGCGAGCCUGUGAGGGUGAGCGAAUCUCGGAAAGCCGGUCUCAGUUCGGAUUGGGGUCUGCAACUCGACCUCAUGAAGUCGGAGUCGCUAGUAAUCGCAGAUCAGCAACGC